RNAcentral lists this ribosomal RNA (229 nucleotides) under uncultured bacterium. RNAcentral describes it as "partial 16S ribosomal RNA". It matches the Rfam family "Bacterial small subunit ribosomal RNA", at positions 568 to 796 of the family's 1533-position model. The record is from RNAcentral.
UGCGUAGGCGGAAUAAUAAGUCAGUGGUGAAAUCCUGUGGCUCAACCACAGAACUGCCAUUGAUACUGUUAUUCUUGAAUAUAGUUGAGGUAGGCGGAAUGUGUAAUGUAGCGGUGAAAUGCUCAGAUAUUACACAGAACACCGAUUGCGAAGGCAGCUUGCUAAACUAUUAUUGACGCUGAGGCACGAAAGCGUGGGGAGCGAACAGGAUUAGAUACCCUGGUAGUCC